This 465-nucleotide ribosomal RNA is filed under the name Vreelandella stevensii. RNAcentral describes it as "partial 16S ribosomal RNA". It matches the Rfam family "Bacterial small subunit ribosomal RNA", at positions 338 to 795 of the family's 1533-position model. The record is from RNAcentral. Lineage: Bacteria; Pseudomonadati; Pseudomonadota; Gammaproteobacteria; Oceanospirillales; Halomonadaceae.
CCUACGGGGGGCUGCAGUGGGGAAUAUUGGACAAUGGGCGAAAGCCUGAUCCAGCCAUGCCGCGUGUGUGAAGAAGGCCUUCGGGUUGUAAAGCACUUUCAGUGGGGAAGAAAGCCUGGGGGCUAAUACCCUCGAGGAAGGACAUCACCCACAGAAGAAGCACCGGCUAACUCCGUGCCAGCAGCCGCGGUAAUACGGAGGGUGCGAGCGUUAAUCGGAAUUACUGGGCGUAAAGCGCGCGUAGGCGGUCUGAUAAGCCGGUUGUGAAAGCCCCGGGCUCAACCUGGGAACGGCAUCCGGAACUGUCAGGCUAGAGUGCAGGAGAGGAAGGUAGAAUUCCCGGUGUAGCGGUGAAAUGCGUAGAGAUCGGGAGGAAUACCAGUGGCGAAGGCGGCCUUCUGGACUGACACUGACGCUGAGGUGCGAAAGCGUGGGUAGCAAACAGGAUUAGAUACCCCAGUAGUC